AGAACGAACGCUGGCGGCAUGCCUAACACAUGCAAGUCGAACGAGACCUUUGGGUCUAGUGGCGCACGGGUGCGUAACGCGUGGGAAUCUGCCCUUAGGUACGGAAUAACAGUGAGAAAUUACUGCUAAUACCGUAUGAUGUCUUCGGACCAAAGAUUUAUCGCCUAGGGAUGAGCCCGCGUAGGAUUAGCUAGUUGGUGGGGUAAAGGCCUACCAAGGCUACGAUCCUUAGCUGGUCUGAGAGGAUGAUCAGCCACACUGGGACUGAGACACGGCCCAGACUCCUACGGGAGGCAGCAGUGGGGAAUAUUGGACAAUGGGCGAAAGCCUGAUCCAGCAAUGCCGCGUGAGUGAAGAAGGCCUUCGGGUUGUAAAGCUCUUUUACCCGGGAAGAUAAUGACUGUACCGGGAGAAUAAGCCCCGGCUAACUCCGCGCCAGCAGCCGC
This 446-nucleotide ribosomal RNA is filed under the name uncultured bacterium. RNAcentral describes it as "SSU rRNA". It matches the Rfam family "Bacterial small subunit ribosomal RNA", at positions 26 to 518 of the family's 1533-position model. The record is from RNAcentral.